GAUGAACGCUGGCGGCGUGCCUAAUACAUGCAAGUCGAGCGAACAGAUGAGGAGCUUGCUCCUCUGACGUUAGCGGCGGACGGGUGAGUAACACGUGGAUAACCUACCUAUAAGACUGGGAUAACUUCGGGAAACCGGAGCUAAUACCGGAUAAUAUAUUGAACCGCAUGGUUCAAUAGUGAAAGACGGUUUUGCUGUCACUUAUAGAUGGAUCCGCGCCGCAUUAGCUAGUUGGUAAGGUAACGGCUUACCAAGGCAACGAUGCGUAGCCGACCUGAGAGGGGAAUCGGCCACACUGAAACUGAGACACGGUCCAGACUCCUACGGGAGGCAGCAGUAGGGAAUCUUCCGCAAUGGGCGAAAGCCUGACGGAGCAACGCCGCGUGAGUGAUGAAGGUCUUCGGAUCGUAAAACUCUGUUAUUAGGGAAGAACAAAUGUGUAAGUAACUAUGCACGUCUUGACGGUACCUAAUCAGAAAGCCACGGCUAACUACGU
RNAcentral lists this ribosomal RNA (496 nucleotides) under uncultured bacterium. RNAcentral describes it as "partial 16S ribosomal RNA". It matches the Rfam family "Bacterial small subunit ribosomal RNA", at positions 28 to 506 of the family's 1533-position model. The record is from RNAcentral.